UCUUCGUGUUAUUCUUCCGUCGCACGUAUAAUAUAGUACGCGUCGCGAUUAAUGUUGAAGGUGUCAUGCGAAGUAAUUAAUUCGCACGCGCGAUCUUGUAUUCACGAAUGAGUGCCAUGGGAGAAAAGGACAAGAGGAGCGCGGAAGAGAACGAGAUUAGAGAUUAGAGUCGCGCCGAACAACGGUAGAGCAACAGUGUGUGAGAAUUGUUAGUAAUUUAUCCGAUGAUAAAGCUGGAAGCGCACAAUAAGAGGAUAAUUUUUCGCUACUUUUAACUUCAGCAAAAAACAGCGCAUAUAAAAGUAUACCAUUGUUACAAACUUCUACAUCCCAUACAACCCGCCUAGAAGAUGCAGGCAUGUUCAACACAAGCAGACCAACAAAAAGUAAUGUUCAAAUCAGAGAUAAAUUUGCAACAUUUUUCGAAACCACC
Molecule: long non-coding RNA, 433 nt
Organism: Formica exsecta
Lineage: Eukaryota; Metazoa; Arthropoda; Insecta; Hymenoptera; Formicidae
Exons: 3
Source: RefSeq, a predicted model, not a curated record